RNAcentral lists this ribosomal RNA (402 nucleotides) under Hydra viridissima (green hydra). RNAcentral describes it as "partial 16S ribosomal RNA". It matches the Rfam family "Bacterial large subunit ribosomal RNA", at positions 1929 to 2482 of the family's 2925-position model. The record is from RNAcentral. Lineage: Eukaryota; Metazoa; Cnidaria; Hydrozoa; Anthoathecata; Hydridae.
GGAUGCGGUAACUCUGACCGUAAUAAAGUAGCAUAAUUAAUUGUCAUUUAAUUGGUGAAGAGAAUGAAUGGUUAUACGAAUUUUUCACUGUCUUGAAAGAAAUUUUUUAAAAUUGAAAUAAUAGUAAAGAUGCUAUUUAAAAUUGUAAGACGAAGAGACCCUAUAGAGCUUUACUAUAAACUUUUUGAAUUAAAAAUAAUAAAAAUUUAUUUAUUUAAAAAAGUUUGGUAGUUUAGUUGGGGCGACUGUUUUUUAAAAAAAACAAAAACAUGCAAAGUAAUAAAUUUAUUUAUUGUAUAAUUAAAAUAUUUAACAAUUAUUAUAGUAGGCUAUAGUGACCCGUUAAUUUAAUAAAAUUUAGUUAACGAUUAAUUAAUAAAAGUUACCUUAGGGAUAACAGGA